RNAcentral lists this ribosomal RNA (504 nucleotides) under uncultured bacterium. Its description in RNAcentral is "bacterial SSU rRNA". It matches the Rfam family "Bacterial small subunit ribosomal RNA", at positions 1025 to 1529 of the family's 1533-position model. The record is from RNAcentral.
ACAGAGGUGACAGGUGGUGCAUGGUUGUCGUCAGCUCGUGUCGUGAGAUGUUGGGUUAAGUCCCGCAACGAGCGCAACCCUUAUCUUCAGUAGCCAGCAAUUCGGUUGGGCACUCUGGAGAGACUGCCAGGGAUAACCUGGAGGAAGGUGGGGAUGACGUCAAAUCAUCAUGCCCCUUAUGAUUUGGGCUACACACGUGCUACAAUGGCGUAAACAAAGGGAAGCAGCCCUGUGAAGGUGAGCAAAUCCCAAAAAUAACGUCUCAGUUCGGAUUGUAGUCUGCAACUCGACUACAUGAAGCUGGAAUCGCUAGUAAUCGCGAAUCAGAAUGUCGCGGUGAAUACGUUCCCGGGUCUUGUACACACCGCCCGUCACACCAUGGGAGUCGGAAAUGCCCGAAGUCAGUGACCCAACCGUAAGGAGGGAGCUGCCGAAGGUGGAGCCGGUAACUGGGGUGAAGUCGUAACAAGGUAGCCGUAUCGGAAGGUGCGGUUGGAUCACCUC